Molecule: ribosomal RNA, 71 nt
Filed under: Colletotrichum gloeosporioides
Lineage: Eukaryota; Fungi; Ascomycota; Sordariomycetes; Glomerellales; Glomerellaceae
Description: partial 28S ribosomal RNA
Rfam family: Eukaryotic large subunit ribosomal RNA
Source: RNAcentral
AAAGGUUGACCUCGGAUCAGGUAGGAAUACCCGCUGAACUUAAGCAUAUCAAUAAGCGGAGGAAUCACUAG